UGGGGGAAUAUUGCACAAUGGGCGAAAGCCUGAUGCAGCGACGCCGCGUGAGGGAUGACGGCCUUCGGGUUGUAAACCUCUUUCAGCAGGGAAGAAGCGAAAGUGACGGUACCUGCAGAAGAAGCGCCGGCUAACUACGUGCCAGCAGCCGCGGUAAUACGUAGGGCGCAAGCGUUGUCCGGAAUUAUUGGGCGUAAAGAGCUCGUAGGCGGUUAGUCGCGUCUGCUGUGAAAAUCUCGAGGCUCAACCUCGGGCUUGCAGUGGGUACGGGCUGACUAGAGUGCGGUAGGGGUGACUGGAAUUCCUGGUGUAGCGGUGGAAUGCGCAGAUAUCAGGAGGAACACCGAUGGCGAAGGCAGGUCACUGGGCCGCAACUGACGCUGAGGAGCGAAAGCAUGGGGAGCGAACAGGAUUAGAUACCCUGGUAGUCCAUGCCGUAAACGUUGGGCACUAGGUGU
Molecule: ribosomal RNA, 458 nt
Filed under: uncultured bacterium
Lineage: Bacteria
Description: partial 16S ribosomal RNA
Rfam family: Bacterial small subunit ribosomal RNA
Source: RNAcentral